ACCGUAACAAAAUGUGGAAAAAGUAAUUUGGUCUGAAUACUUUCAAAGGCAAUGUAUCGUACGAAUUGCCCCAAAAGAUGUUGUUGCAAGAGGUAACAUAUCAUACAAAAUGGAUAACAUAGUACACAAUUGGAUAACGUAGUACACAAGAAAAUGUGUGCCGUUUUGCCUAUGUGAGUACCACUCAAAACUACUGGCUGAAAUUAUACAGUUCCGUAACAUCCCUUUUGGGCAAAACAAUUAAAUGAUAUGUUAAAACAAUAAGUAUAUGUGUGUAUAUUGUAUAACUGUGGUGUACACUGAAAUACAUUAUCGUCUAUAAUUUCAUUUAAAAAAGAUGUGCAUUGUUUUACAAUGUUUUUUAUUGACAGAUCCACUGGUCCGUCCCCAUGAUCAAGUGUAGAAAAUAUUUCCUGUCUAAUUUCCUGAGGAAAAUAAAUGUCUUGUCAACCUAGCCAGCACUUUAUUAAAAAGACCACAUUUCAUGUUUACAAAUUCCAGAAGAAUACGAUUUCUCUUUGAUUCCUAUAUUUUUGAGAACCCUUGAUUACAGAGUUAGAGUUAGCGAGGUAAUGUUAAUAGUAUGAAAACCUGUUUCCUGGUGGUAUUUCCAGUGUAAACUCUUAGAGCAGAUCCCAGCCACAGACUAAACACACUAAGGGAAUUUACCAUGAUGGUCUGGCUUUACACACUCUGGUUUGUCUUUCUCCCUGUACUAUCUGGGUCAAUCCACAAAAGUAUUCCCUUUUGCAUCCCUUUGACAUUUUAAGUAGAAAUUGUGCACCAAUUUAGAAUUUUAAAAGCAAGUUAUAUUAAAUGAAGUACCCUUUAAUAUAGACCACAUGUCAACUGAAAUAAAUCUGUUUUUUUAGUUUGCUAAAGUGACAAAAUGCUGAAUUCUGGCAUGUUCCUCUGUGGAGUUGAAUAUUGUAACCCGCUUAACCCCAAAGUUCCUCCACGUUUUCACCAUCAUUGAAAAGCUCGCAUUCACGUGAAAUCGGAGUUAUCGGAAAAUCCUAGUUCCGCCUGAAAAAAUAUAGUUGCCGAGUUGUGACGUUUCACCACUUACCUUUUCAACCAAAAGAUUGCAACCUUAAAAAUAUGGAUCAUUUAGCUAAUUUGACCAUAUCAUCAAUGUUAAGCAAGCUAGCUAACCUUAUAAUUAAUAACAGUAUCAAGCUAGCUAACCUUAUAAUUAAUAACAGUAUCAAGCUAGCUAACCUUAUAAUUAAUAACAGUAUCAAGCUAGCUAAAGUCAUAUUGGUUGAAGAAUUUGUUCUGACAAAAAAGCACAUGAAUGAAACAAAGUUGACAUCACAACUAGGAAAUAGGAAGUUCUGACGAGCAUGUGAAUGCGGCCCUAGUUAUUUUGUUGUUUUGAAGAAGUCAUUUCUGGAGAUUAUUUAUUUCAUGUGAUUAGCAAUUCAUUUUUAAGGGUAUUUUUUAAAAAAAGCUUCCAUUCCUCCUUUCAGAAGGGGAUUUAUGGCUGAUUUAAUAUUGAAAUCGUCAACCCUGUUACGGUCAACCCUGUUACGGUCAACCCUGUUACGGUCAACCCUGUUACCUUAUUUUGCACUUAAUAGGUACAUACUAUUGUAUUUUUUUUCAUUGAAACUCUUGUGAUGGAAAACAUAUUUUUUAUUAAGUUGAACAUGUGCUCCUUAUGACAGAAUGUUAAAAUGAUGUGAGUACACUACCCAAAAGGGACUCAUUUCGUGGAACGACCAAUCUGUGUCCCAAAAUACCUCACUAUUAGGAGCACCCAUGGAGAAAAGAAGUGGAUAGGUUCUCACUACAUAGCUGUGGGCAUCCCAAUAUAAUGUACUAUACACUCAGUGGACAGUUUAUUAUGUGCACUACCCUGUUCACAAAAAUGUUUUGCCCUCCUACAGACAGUUGAGUCAUGUGGCUGUGGCUUGCUAUAUAAAGCAGACAUCAAGGCAUUCAGUUACUGUUUGAUUGAAUGUUAAAAUGGGCAAAACGAGUGACCUAUGCAACUUUGAGCAUGGUAUGAUCGUCGGUGCCAGGUGCGCCGGUUCCAGUAUCUCAGAAACGGCCAGCUUCCUGGGCUUUUCCUACAGAGAAUAGGGUGACAAACAAACGUUUCUAAUUUUGCCAGAAAGUAAUUUUCAUUUCAAGUUAAAGUGUACUGUUAGCGAGCUAGCUAACAUUAACUGGCUGGCUAGCUAGCUAAUGUUAUGUGUAUGAUCUGUGUAGUGAUAUUAUUUGCAUUUCAGAGCCAUUUGCAUUGCUAGUUAUAGCCUAAUGUUAGCUACGUGCAGAUUCAUUCAGGGUAGUAACGUUAUGAGUUGGGAUUAGGGUUCAUUCUUUAGCUAGCUAGCUACAUGUCUAAACAAAAGACUCCACUAUGCAAGUAACUAUUUCAAUAGAAUGUUUUUGAUGUCACAGCGACAACUGUCGAUAGACGUAGCUGGUAAAUUCGCUCUGGCUAACUACUCCGAUUUCAGAACACUCUCAUCUGAGUGUGCUAGAGAGCAGAAUAUCUGACAAAAUGUACAAACGCUCAACACCCUUUGAAUAUGGCCGGUGUCAGUAAAC
Oncorhynchus mykiss (rainbow trout) is the source of this 2559-nucleotide non-coding RNA. The record is from RefSeq and is a predicted model, not a curated record. NCBI's taxonomy places the organism in Eukaryota, Metazoa, Chordata, Actinopteri, Salmoniformes, Salmonidae.